RNAcentral lists this ribosomal RNA (466 nucleotides) under uncultured bacterium. RNAcentral describes it as "partial 16S ribosomal RNA". It matches the Rfam family "Bacterial small subunit ribosomal RNA", at positions 28 to 507 of the family's 1533-position model. The record is from RNAcentral.
GAUGAACGCUGGCGGCGUGCUUAACACAUGCGAGUCGAACGGAAAGGCUCCUGCUUGCAGGGGCACUCGAGUGGCGAACGGGUGAGUAACACGUGGGUGAUCUGCCCUGCACUUCGGGAUAAGCCUGGGAAACUGGGUCUAAUACCGGAUAGGACCAUCGUUUAGUGUCGGUGGUGGAAAGUUUUUUCGGUGUGGGAUGAGCUCGCGGCCUAUCAGCUUGUUGGUGGGGUAAUGGCCUACCAAGGCGUCGACGGGUAGCCGGCCUGAGAGGGUGUACGGCCACAUUGGGACUGAGAUACGGCCCAGACUCCUACGGGAGGCAGCAGUGGGGAAUAUUGCACAAUGGGCGCAAGCCUGAUGCAGCGACGCCGCGUGGGGGAUGACGGCCUUCGGGUUGUAAACUCCUUUCGCCAGGGACGAAGCGAAAGUGACGGUACCUGGAGAAGAAGCACCGGCUAACUACGUG